CACGUAGGGUGCGAGCGUUGUCCGGAAUUAUUGGGCGUAAAGAGCUCGUAGGCGGUUUGUCGCGUCGGCCGUGAAAACUUGCAGCUUAACUGUGGGCGUGCGGUCGAUACGGGCAUCACUGGAGUUCGGCAGGGGAGACUGGAAUUCCUGGUGUAGCGGUGAAAUGCGCAGAUAUCAGGAGGAACACCGGUGGCGAAGGCGGGUCUCUGGGCCGAUACUGACGCUGAGGAGCGAAAGCGUGGGGAGCGAACAGG
Molecule: ribosomal RNA, 254 nt
Filed under: uncultured bacterium
Lineage: Bacteria
Description: partial 16S ribosomal RNA
Rfam family: Bacterial small subunit ribosomal RNA
Source: RNAcentral